ACCCUUGUGGAGGAGGACGCCGAAGGUGGGGCUAAUGACUGGGGUGAAGUCGUAACAAGGUAGCCGUACCGGAAGGUGCGGCUGGAUCACCUCCUAACAGGGAGACAACAAAAUGUUUAAUAUUAUUAUUUUGUCACCUUAGGUCGAUCGGUAUCUCACGUUUUUAAUUUAUUAAGAAUUUCAUUUCCUAAGUUUUUCUAGGUCACACCCAUUAUUUUUCCUGGGCCAUUAGCUCAGGUGGUUAGAGCGCACCCCUGAUAAGGGUGAGGUCCCUGGUUCAAGUCCAGGAUGGCCCAUAUCUCUAUGUUGGGGGUAUAGCUCAGUUGGUAGAGCGCCUGCUUUGCAAGCAGGAUGUCAGCGGUUCGAGUCCGCUUACCUCCACUGAUUACCACCUCUUCCAUAACCGGUAGAAAGGAAAUGUUUUGAGUUGUGAUCAAAUUCUGAAAGAAUCUAGCUUCCUAAUGAAUUCAUUAAGAUGCUGGACUCAUUGAAUUAAUUUCAUUGUUUUCAGAGAACCUUGACAACUGCAUAGAUUAUUUUUAAAGACAAUAAGCAUCUUUAAUGAUGCAGAUUUAUUAUUUGUGCGAAUGCAUUAAUAACAAUUCUAUUAAGCUGAUGCUUCAAUUUUUGAAGUUAUUGGUCAAGCUACAAAGGGCUCACGGAGGAUACCUAGGCACACAGAGGCGA
RNAcentral lists this unclassified non-coding RNA (687 nucleotides) under uncultured Prochlorococcus sp. Its description in RNAcentral is "partial may contain 16S ribosomal RNA, 16S-23S ribosomal RNA intergenic spacer, and 23S ribosomal RNA". The stretch from base 1 to 97 matches the Rfam family "Bacterial small subunit ribosomal RNA", at positions 1437 to 1533 of the family's 1533-position model. Lineage: Bacteria; Bacillati; Cyanobacteriota; Cyanophyceae; Synechococcales; Prochlorococcaceae. The record is from RNAcentral.